This 73-nucleotide transfer RNA is filed under the name Lepisosteus oculatus (spotted gar). It matches the Rfam family "tRNA". Rfam says of the family: Transfer RNA (tRNA) molecules are approximately 80 nucleotides in length. Their secondary structure includes four short double-helical elements and three loops (D, anti-codon, and T loops). Lineage: Eukaryota; Metazoa; Chordata; Actinopteri; Semionotiformes; Lepisosteidae. The record is from Rfam by way of RNAcentral.
CCCCUAAUAGCUCUGGUGGGAGAGCAUGAGACUCAUAGUCUCAGGGUAGUGGGUUCGUGUCCCACGUCGGGCG